This 497-nucleotide ribosomal RNA is filed under the name uncultured bacterium. RNAcentral describes it as "partial 16S ribosomal RNA". It matches the Rfam family "Bacterial small subunit ribosomal RNA", at positions 28 to 507 of the family's 1533-position model. The record is from RNAcentral.
GAUGAACGCUGGCGGCGUGCCUAAUACAUGCAAGUCGAGCGAACAGACGAGGAGCUUGCUCCUCUGACGUUAGCGGCGGACGGGUGAGUAACACGUGGAUAACCUACCUAUAAGACUGGGAUAACUUCGGGAAACCGGAGCUAAUACCGGAUAAUAUAUUGAACCGCAUGGUUCAAUAGUGAAAGACGGUUUUGCUGUCACUUAUAGAUGGAUCCGCGCCGCAUUAGCUAGUUGGUAAGGUAACGGCUUACCAAGGCAACGAUGCGUAGCCGACCUGAGAGGGUGAUCGGCCACACUGGAACUGAGACACGGUCCAGACUCCUACGGGAGGCAGCAGUAGGGAAUCUUCCGCAAUGGGCGAAAGCCUGACGGAGCAACGCCGCGUGAGUGAUGAAGGUCUUCGGACCGUAAACCUCUGUUAUUAGGGAAGAACAAAUGUGUAAGUAACUAUGCACGUCUUGACGGUACCUAAUCAGAAAGCCACGGCUAACUACGUG